This 474-nucleotide ribosomal RNA is filed under the name uncultured bacterium. Its description in RNAcentral is "bacterial SSU rRNA". It matches the Rfam family "Bacterial small subunit ribosomal RNA", at positions 404 to 896 of the family's 1533-position model. The record is from RNAcentral.
AAUGAUGAAGGUCUUAGGAUUGUAAAAUUCUUUCACCGGGGACGAUAAUGACGGUACCCGGAGAAGAAGCCCCGGCUAACUUCGUGCCAGCAGCCGCGGUAAUACGAAGGGGGCUAGCGUUGCUCGGAAUUACUGGGCGUAAAGGGCGCGUAGGCGGAUCGUUAAGUCAGAGGUGAAAUCCCAGGGCUCAACCCUGGAACUGCCUUUGAUACUGGCGAUCUUGAGUGUGAGAGAGGUAUGUGGAACUCCGAGUGUAGAGGUGAAAUUCGUAGAUAUUCGGAAGAACACCAGUGGCGAAGGCGACAUACUGGCUCAUUACUGACGCUGAGGCGCGAAAGCGUGGGGAGCAAACAGGAUUAGAUACCCUGGUAGUCCACGCCGUAAACGAUGAUUGCUAGUUGUCGGGCUGCAUGCAGUUCGGUGACGCAGCUAACGCAUUAAGCAAUCCGCCUGGGGAGUACGGUCGCAAGAUUA